Non-coding RNA from Pelobates cultripes (western spadefoot toad), 1459 nucleotides. The record is from the annotation of a GenBank genome assembly. Lineage: Eukaryota; Metazoa; Chordata; Amphibia; Anura; Pelobatidae.
CUCAGAAUUUCUUUUAUACAAAUCUGACCAAUUACUGUCUGUACUGCACCCAGCAUAUGAUCAUAGACUGAGAUAGAAACAUAUACAGACAUGCGGAUAGAUGUAUCAUAUAGAUAGAUAGAUAAAUAGAUAGCCACAUGAGAUUAUAAUUUAGGAGCCAGAAUACUGCUAUUCUUAGCAUCAAUGUAUACAGCUCUUUUACUCCUACUUAAUUUCAGAGCAGUCGUGUUGAUAUUUAUGGUCCAGGGAAGAGUGCAACAUAUUAAAAUGUGUCAUAUAGUAAUACAGGUUUUAGACGCUUCUGGGAUUUGCCAUGCCUUGUUCUAGUCAUCAAAUAUAUCUACGACUUUAAACGUUUAAGACAUUGUUAAUGGGACACUAUAGGCACCAAAACAACGUUAGCUUAAAAAAAAGCAGUUUUGGUGUAUAGAUCAUGCAUGUGCAGUCUCACUGUUCCAUUCUAUGCCAUUUAUGAGUUCAAUCACUUUGUUUCUACAGCCCUAGUUACACCACCCUGCGUGUAACUUGCACUGCCUUGCUAAGCAGAUCUCAUAUUAGAUCCUAAUAAAGAUCUAAUAUUUAAACGUCCUUUAUUAUACAUUAUGUUUAAUUUAGAAUUUCCUAUCUCCUGCUCUGUUAAUAGUCUUCUAGACAUUGCAUUAGCCUCCUAUGUCUGGUUAAAGUUCAAAUAAUAGAGCAAGAGAUAAAAAUGUCUAAAGCAAGUUAACAUCUGAUUGAAAAUGAAACUGUUUGUUUUCAUGCAGGCUGUGUGAGUCACAGCCAGGAGAGGUAUGGCUAGGGAUGCAUUAACAGAAACAAAAGGGAUUUAACUCCUAAAUGGCAGAGAAUUGAGCAGUGAAACUGCAGGGGCAUGAUCUAUAUAUCUAAACUGGUUCAUUAAAGGGAUUCUAUAAGUGCCCGGAAUACAAAGCUGUAUUCCUGGCACUAUAGCUCCCUCUGACUCCCCCUCCCUCGCUCCAUCCCUUCCCGGUGGAUGAAGGGUUAAAAACCCUUUACUUACUUACCUGAUCCUAGCGCCGAUGUCCCUUGUGACUGGGUCACAGUGCUGCCUCCUCAUCCCAUAUGGGGAAAAAUCUGAUGCUGGAUGUCCUCAUGCAGAGCGUGAGGAAGUCCAGCGUCAGUUACCGGACCAAAGGUCCCUUUGGAUCCAGGAAGUGUCUGGGAGACAACCACUGGAAGUAGACUUAGUACUGCAAUGUAGGACUAUGUGCAAUAGGGACACUGCACUCAGACAACCUCAAUGAGCCUGAAGUGGUUUGGGUGCUUAUAGUGUCCCUUUAAGCAAAAGUUGUUUUAGUGCCUAUAGUAUCCUUUUAAGUAAAGUUUUUGAAAGUCAACUGUAUUUUAAUCUUUCAGAGGACAGAAAGAUGUGUAAAGUGAUACUAUACAGAGUUAUAUUAAUACAUAAAUCAUAUAUCUCUUCUUUCUCACAUUUAGU